Pelobates cultripes (western spadefoot toad) is the source of this 291-nucleotide non-coding RNA. NCBI's taxonomy places the organism in Eukaryota, Metazoa, Chordata, Amphibia, Anura, Pelobatidae. The record is from the annotation of a GenBank genome assembly.
AAUCAACUGAAGAUAAGAAGAAAUUAAGAAGAUUCUACAUGAACAUCCAUUCAUCUACAUUUUUUACAUUGGCUAGCCUGCCAGUCUUCUAUUCAAGUUUUGUUCCCACUUCAAGGGGGGAGAGAGAAGAAUCGAGUUACAAAGCUAUUUUGGAACUGGGAAAACAAACUUGAAGAGAAAAAAAGAAUCUAGACUGACUGUCACAGAAGAACUGUGGUUUGUAAGAAAAAGAAAGUUUUCAAAUCACAAAGACUGUACAAGACUAUUUUCUACAACUGAGAGAAAAAGCAC